This 492-nucleotide ribosomal RNA is filed under the name uncultured bacterium. RNAcentral's name for it is "partial 16S ribosomal RNA". It matches the Rfam family "Bacterial small subunit ribosomal RNA", at positions 28 to 507 of the family's 1533-position model. The record is from RNAcentral.
GGUGAACGCUGGCGGUAGGCCUAACACAUGCAAGUCGAACGGCAGCACAGUAAGAGCUUGCUCUUACGGGUGGCGAGUGGCGGACGGGUGAGGAAUACAUCGGAAUCUACUUUUUCGUGGGGGAUAACGUAGGGAAACUUACGCUAAUACCGCAUACGACCUACGGGUGAAAGCAGGGGAUCUUCGGACCUUGCGCGAUUGAAUGAGCCGAUGUCGGAUUAGCUAGUUGGCGGGGUAAAGGCCCACCAAGGCGACGAUCCGUAGCUGGUCUGAGAGGAAGAUCAGCCACACUGGAACUGAGACACGGUCCAGACUCCUACGGGAGGCAGCAGUGGGGAAUAUUGGACAAUGGGCGCAAGCCUGAUCCAGCCAUACCGCGUGGGUGAAGAAGGCCUUCGGGUUGUAAAGCCCUUUUGUUGGGAAAGAAAAGCAGCAGGUUAAUACCCCGCUGUUCUGACGGUACCCAAAGAAUAAGCACCGGCUAACUUCGUG